This is a long non-coding RNA of Saccostrea cuccullata (small rock oyster), 1751 nucleotides long. RefSeq lists it as uncharacterized. The record is from RefSeq and is a predicted model, not a curated record. Lineage: Eukaryota; Metazoa; Mollusca; Bivalvia; Ostreida; Ostreidae. The transcript is spliced from 5 exons.
GCGUAACCAAGGAAACAAACAUCGUCGACCACCAAAUGCGUACAGCUUUGAUCGAUGUACUGAGGGAUUGUGCUCAAUUUAUCAUCAAUUAUGCCUAGGAACAUGGUCUCCCUCAGCCAGCUGCAGUCAAUAGAAAUAUCGGUGGACAGAUUAUCCUUCCUUGCUGUGAAAACAAACAAUCCCUUCAUAAAAAGUACAAGGAUGUCUGCACAGAUAACGGUAGGACUGCAGUUGGGCUGACAACAUUUAAAGGGGUGUGGCAAAAUUGUUGUCCAAAUAUCGAGUUUAUGUCUCCAAAAACUGAUGUUUGUCCGGUGUGUGAGCGACAUAAAGAUAACAUCCAAUCGGCUUCAACAGAAGAUGAAAAACUUGCUGCUUUAGACUAGUACGGUUCACAUUUUAAUAAAGUGAAGGCUGAACAACAGUUGUACAAUCAGUGCAUAAGCGUUACGAGAGCAGAGAUUGCUGAACAACCAGUCCCUUUGGUACCCGUAGCACCGAUGUCUUCUGUCUUGAAGAAAGUACAUCAUACAUUUGACUACUCACAGGCAGUUUCAAUUCCUCACCAUGUUUGCCAAGUUGGGCCACUUUACUUUGCUACCCCUAGAAAAGUUCAGCUUUUCGGAGUAGCCAUGGAAGGUUUAAGGAAGCAGUACAAUUUCCUUGUUGAUGAAGAUUCCACACCCAGGGAAAAUGGCACAAAGAUCAAAGGUGCACUCGGGGUUCUAUCAAUGUAACACAUUGUUUGGAAAAUUUUGGAUGUGGGGAAAAAAGAGUGUCAUCUGCAUUGUGAUAACGCUUCAGGAGGAAACAAAAACAGGUUUGUGAUUGCCUAUUUAUUCUGGAGAGUUCUUAGUGGUAAACAUGAGAUAAUUCAUCUCUAUAUGCAAGUUCCAUACCAUGAAAAAAGCCUUGUUGACGCUGGGUUCGCGUACAUAAAGAAACUUUACAGGAGAUAUGAGGCGGACUCCCUGGAUCAGCUGGCAAACGUUGUUCGGAAGAGUUCAAAAUCAAAUGAAGUCGUUGUUUUUGGUGGAACAGAGGGGCAUUGGCUAGAUUGGAAGACGUUUACCCAAGACUACUUCCCUUCAAGGGUAUAAGAAAAUACCGGCAUUUCGUCUUCAAGGCAGAAAACGAAGGUGUUAUUGAAGCUAGCGAUGCACCGGAAUCUUCAGUCACUAAAGUUAAAUUGUUGAAACUUGGAGUUGACAUAGGAUCCAUCCAGCCCCCUGUGAUCAUUCCAGCCGCUGGGUUGUCAGCUGACCGACAGAAAUAUCUAUAUAAAUUAAUUAGACCAUUUGUUCGGUGUCCAUGGAAAGAUGCUGUUGCUCAACCACCCGAAGACCAAGAAGAAUAAUUCAUUCUUCAAACGUUUUUUAUAUAAAUGUUAAUAACAUCUAAAAUAAAUGACAUACGUUCUGGACAGCAUCAAAAACUGAUAACUACAACCCCUAGUAAUUUACCGAUGUAGAAAGUAGGAACUCAUAAUGUACUUAGAGAAAAUUUUUACUUUGUUCGUUCCUGUUAAAAAAAUUCAAAGCGCAACAUUAAUUCGUCUUCUUAAUUUAUCAAAUUUUGCUAAAUUCGAGCAUGAAUAAUAGUUAACUGUUAUAAUUGGAUGUAAAUAUGAGUAUCAAUUCAUAAUUAUCAUCUUAAAAUGGAUAUAUUAAAGGUGUCACUGUGAAUAAUAUGCCAUACUUUUGUGAAAAAUUACACUGACGUCAAGAAAUAAAUGCGACGUUUUUAUUGAA